UACAGAGGUCCCAAGCGUUGUUCGGAUUCACUGGGCGUAAAGGGUGCGCAGGUGGGCGUGGUAAGUUCGAUGUGAAAGCCCCGGGCUUAACCCGGGAAAGGCAUUGGAUACUACUGGUCUGGAGGAUUGGAGGGGGGACUGGAAUUCUUGGUGUAGCAGUGAAAUGCGUAGAUAUCAAGAGGAACACCAGUGGCGAAGGCGAGUCCCUGGACAAUACCUGACACUGAGGCACGAAAGCCAAGGGAGCAAACAGG
Molecule: ribosomal RNA, 254 nt
Filed under: uncultured bacterium
Lineage: Bacteria
Description: partial 16S ribosomal RNA
Rfam family: Bacterial small subunit ribosomal RNA
Source: RNAcentral